Molecule: long non-coding RNA, 1665 nt
Filed under: Marmota monax (woodchuck)
Lineage: Eukaryota; Metazoa; Chordata; Mammalia; Rodentia; Sciuridae
Source: RNAcentral
GGGAAACAGAGGCAUUUAGAGGAUUCUGAACUAUUAUGUGGGUGCUCACCAUUUAUCAGCUACCUGACUUGGGAGGUUUUUUAAUUCCUGUGAUGGUCUCCCAAUGUGUCAAAUCUUCAAUAUUACUUCCAUCAAUAGGUACAGUCGUGUUCUCCACCCUGGCUGAUCUCUCUGAAGAAGGGAAUGUGGAAGAUGUGGUAUCACAGGACUGUGAGGACAGGUUAGAAAAGCCCAUGUGGCCUUUUCUGGGUACCCUGGGGCUGCCUGGUGGAGAGGGGGUUUUUCAUAGACUGAUGUAAGUAUUGACUCAUUUAACCCUUACAACAAUGGUUUGAUAUAAAAAACAGAACUGUCUUUUAAAGAUAGGAAAAGAGAAGUGUGAGAGUACGUGACUUUCCCAAGGCCAUCACAACUUAUGGAAGAUCCAAGACUUGGAGCGAGGCCAUCUGGCUCCAGCACCUUUCCUCUUACUAGACUCUGGGCUGCCUGCCCUGCACUGGGCCUCCACUACUGCUUCCUCCUCCCUGCUGGGGGAAGUCUGCCUGAGAAGGAGCUUCAACCCUUUCCAGGACAGAGAGGGCAGGAGCCAUCCCAGAAUGUGUGUUGGGGGGCACAGGGACAGGCCUUUUCCCUUGGCAUAGUCCAUCACAACCUGGAUGGGGGGCUUUUUUGGAGAGAGAAGCAUAGAAAGGUAGGACUGGGAUCAAGACCAUGGGAGGAGAGGUCUGGGAACAAAGGGCAUGCACCCACUGCUUGGUCUGAUUGGGAGCAGGGACAGACCACCAUUUGCAGACAUCAGAGAAGCUAUGUGAGGGAAGGCGGCACAUUGUGGGCAAGAAUGGCACCUGUGCCUGGAAGCUCAAGGCAGGCAGAUUUCUGGCAACUUGAACUAGCUCUGGCCAAGAGUACCUAUUGACCCUACAAGUUCCACUGCAGCUCUUCCUGCCCCCACCCCCAGUGGCCUUUUUUCCAGGCAGGUAGCUUCCUGUAGUGGCUUGCAGUCAAGUCCUACAUUCUGUCUGAGUCCCAACUUUGCUCUCUUACUACAUAUAUGACCUUGGGUAAGUGGCAACCUCUCCGAACCUCAGUCUUGCCUCUGGAGAAAGAGAUGUGCUAAAACUUCUCUCAUAGGAAUUUCAAGAUACCAUGAGGUGAACUAUACAGAAUGCUUAUUAGCCUGGUGCCUGGCAUAUGGUGAAUGUUCAAUAAAUGGCAGCCAGAGAUGAGAGGGGAAGGGGAGAGAGGGAGAGGCCAUAGUGAGGAUUUCCCUUUCAUAUGCCAGGUGAGCUCCCAGGAAGACAACGGGUGCCGCACCUGGAUGUGGGCAGAGGCUUUGAGGCUGCUGGCUGGGACUGGGGUCUGAGGAGGAAGUGGGCAUGAACUAGGGGUGGGGGAGGCAGGGCAGCUUUGUCUCUGUCAGUUAAUUAAAUCCGGAAUGCUAACAAGCUUUCAAAACAAAAUGCGACUCAAGUACUCUUUGCAUGGGAUAUAAAAAACAAAACAAAACAAAACAAAACAAAAAAAACGGUUCUAUGAAAUUGCAAACAGCUUUGUUGCUGCAAACAAAGGCCCAGUUCUUUGUACCUUUCUGGCGUGGAGGCCCAAAAAGUACAAGGGUGAAAAGGGUCAAUGAAACUCGGAGGGUGCACCCCUGCCACAGCUGCC